This is a long non-coding RNA of Dioscorea cayenensis subsp. rotundata (Guinea yam), 718 nucleotides long. RefSeq lists it as uncharacterized. The record is from RefSeq and is a predicted model, not a curated record. The transcript is spliced from 3 exons. Lineage: Eukaryota; Viridiplantae; Streptophyta; Magnoliopsida; Dioscoreales; Dioscoreaceae.
GUUGGUUUUUUUUGGUGAAUUUAUGGAGGAUUUGGGAGCCUUGAAGAAGAACUUGCCCAUUUGCCACCACUGAAGUUCUGGAUGAAGAGAACAAACCCUGGUGUACCAGAAAUCUGGAGAUAAAGCUCAGCAAAGCAGUGUGAUACCUGAGGACUCAGAUUUUGCUCCAGAUAUAUGAGUAAAACAGUUGAGAGAUUACUCAUUUGGAUAUUAUGUACACUAUCUGAAAAGCACAAAAUGGGUGACAAGCACCGACCCUCAGGGAGGGGUGUACACAGGCAGAGAAUUGUCAUGCGUCCUCACCCUCUUUAAGCUGGGGAGCGCAGUCAGGGAGAAUCAAACUCACGUCUCUCCAAAAUAAGGCGAGCUGAGGUAACGCGAGGCCACAUGUCCUAUGUUACUUAUUACAAUUUUGUCGUAUCUGGAAUUUUUUUUUUUUUUUGGUCACAUUGAAGCAAUUUAUAAUGUUUCUUACCCAACAUGCUUGCAAGCUAGUGCAUACUUCACCAUCUUCAACUUAAUUGUAUAGAAUAAGUCCACAACCAAACACAUCUUUGAGAAAUUGUGAAAAGGAGUUAGGUAGUCUGUGUCAUAUAUUGCCAAUAAUGCUAUUUGUACAGAAUAAUGGUACACAAUUUAUUCUCAAAUAGGUUAUAGCUUUUGUUUACUGAUUGAUUUGUUUUUGAGAUUCAUAGCUUUUUAUUAUUCUGUAAACUAU